This is a long non-coding RNA of Chelonia mydas (Green sea turtle), 1128 nucleotides long. RefSeq lists it as uncharacterized. The transcript is spliced from 4 exons. Lineage: Eukaryota; Metazoa; Chordata; Testudines; Cheloniidae. The record is from RefSeq and is a predicted model, not a curated record.
GGGGGCUGAUCCUUUAAAUUUGGCAGAAAGCAGCUACUGCAGCCCUUAGGUGGCCAUUUUGUAAUUUGCUACUGCUUUGAUGUGGCUCACUGUUGGUUUGUGAAGGUUCUGAGAUUUUACAAGAGCCACCUCUACCGACUGCCAGUAACACACCUAUCAACUUGAAACCUUCAUGCCAACCUGGACUCAGCAUCAGGAACCAUAAUGAGAUCAGAGAUACAGAUUACAGCAAAAUACAGUCCAGUUGGAGCUGCGGGGGUGGUGCCUGUGGCCAGGGGCAGCACGCAGAACCGCCUGGCCGCCCCUGCGCCUCGGUGCUAUAGGGACAUGCUGUCCGCUUCCGGAAGCCGCCUGAGGGUGGCUGAAACUUUCUGGAGCUGAUUGGCAUAAAGGUACAGUAGCAGUCUAUCCAUCCGGGAGACACUCUCUUCCUCCUAAGAAUGCAUUGCAGAGCCGAUGGAUAGGGUGAUGAUGAUGGCUAGUGGAUCUAUUCCACAGAUAGCAGUCACUUGGGAAGCUUGACUCUGAGCCUUCAUGCAAGAGGAGAAGGGGGCGGGGGGCUGGGAACAAGGACCAACAGGACAAAUUCCAAGUUCUAUGCGGCCUUUGCCACAGAAAUUAGGAGACUGAAUCAGAAUUGGACUCUGUGAGUUUCCAGCCACUGUGCCUCCGUGGCUGGCAAGAGCAAAGCCGGAAAUUCAGAUGAAUAGAGCCCUUAAUGUUUUUUUGUUUGACACUCAUGCUUAACAGAAAAUGAUGAAUCCAUUAGCAACUCCUUCCGCUGCCAAAAGAAACAGACUUGCACUUGUAGAUUGCUUUCAUUCUGCGCUAUCAAGCCACUGCACGCUCGGCUUUUGCAAAGUUGACAGACAUCUAUCAUUUGAAAAAUGGGCUUUUAGAGGUACAGUCCUCUGUGUCUUAAGUGUGUGUAUGUGUCUGCUUGAAUGUGUCUCAUUAAAAUGCACUGACCCAGCUGAGCCCCCAAACAGAAUCCAUGGUGGAAAGUGUCUUGUUGUCUCUUUGGUUUGAGUUAUUUCAAAGUUUGUCACUAAUUUCUCAUGACAAUGGGGGGUUCUGAAUGAUUCUGGUCUAUGAUGGUGUUUGUGAACUCCCUCAAAAAUGUGUCAG